RNAcentral lists this long non-coding RNA (261 nucleotides) under Elaeis guineensis (African oil palm). RNAcentral's name for it is "long non-coding RNA (EGUI_LNC001147)". Lineage: Eukaryota; Viridiplantae; Streptophyta; Magnoliopsida; Arecales; Arecaceae. The record is from RNAcentral.
GACAAUACGUAAGGUUCUGCACCGCCCGCGGUGCACAAAGAAUUUCGCUUAGACUUUGAUGGAACUACGGUUUAGCCAGAGCCCCGUUCAAUUGAUGUAGAAACAUUCGGACAGAGCCCCGUUCAAUUGAUGUAGAAACAUUCGGACGUGGGCUUGAAGGUCCACUUACAAUCGGGCCUGCUGGUCAUAGCUUCAGAUGGGUGAGACUUAAGUCCUAAAAGCUUAUUUCGGCACGCGCAAUGCACGUCCUUUAUUAGCGCA